Gossypium arboreum is the source of this 386-nucleotide long non-coding RNA. RefSeq lists it as uncharacterized. The record is from RefSeq and is a predicted model, not a curated record. Lineage: Eukaryota; Viridiplantae; Streptophyta; Magnoliopsida; Malvales; Malvaceae. The transcript has 2 exons.
UUGUUAUUAAAUAGAUUUUUAAUAUAGUUAUUAUUGUCAUUAUAUAUAUAUAAAAGAAACAAAAGAAAGAAACAAAAAGAAGAAAAAGAAGAAAAGAAACAGAAUAGCAGGGGACGAAACAGAGAAGGGAGAAAGGAAGAAAAGAAAAAGGCAAAAAUAAAGUUUUAAAGGUUCCAACUAACAAGGAAAACGAGGCAUCGGCAUCUAAAGGAAAAGAAAAGAUCGUUGAGGAGUUAGCUCAAGAAAAUACAGUUUGUAUUUAUAUAAUCCGAACUCAGUCAUUAUUUGUUAUAUUUAUAUACAUGUGACAAUUGUUAGUGUUAGAAUUAUGAUGUUUUACAAUUGAAAUGGAUUGAUUUUGGUAUGUGAUGAAUUUAUCAAAUUUA